Spinacia oleracea (spinach) is the source of this 629-nucleotide long non-coding RNA. RefSeq lists it as uncharacterized. Lineage: Eukaryota; Viridiplantae; Streptophyta; Magnoliopsida; Caryophyllales; Amaranthaceae. The record is from RefSeq and is a predicted model, not a curated record. The transcript is spliced from 2 exons.
CCAAACACGUCUUUCUCUCUCUAGUCUCUACUUCCCAAAAUAUCUCAGAGUUUCUCUAUUUUUGACGUGCGAUUUCUGGCUCUUCGAAAGCCUUUCUUCAUCAAAUUCCAGAAAAUUGCUUCGAUUUUGAACUCAGGUAUUACUCGAUUAAAUUUCACUCGAUUUUGCUCAAAAUCUAAUUCGGCGACGCUAAAAUUUUCCCUUGGAUCUGCAUAAUUUAUCUCGAACUCAGAGUAGAAGAUUCUAUUGAGAUCUUGGAGUAUGUUGUCAAGUUGAGGGAAGAGAAACUAGGUACAGAAAAUGCUGAAUUUGAUGAUGAAAAGAGCAGGCUUGCCGAGCUAUUGAAAGAGCCGGUAAGAGCAGAAAUAGAAAAAAAAUCCCUCGAGAAUCUCAUUGAUCCAAAUUCUAAGAGAACAAAGAAAGAGACAACAAAUAGGUGGGGAGGGUUGGGUUUUAGGAUUUGAGGAAGAAGAAGCAGUUCCUCACAGAUUACAGCUGCUUCUGUUGUGUAAGAUAGUGUAUAGUUUCAGUGAUGUAAGCUUUGUGUGGCCUUUACUUGUUAAAGGUCUCAAUUUGUUCUCUUUAUUUAAUUUAUUUUGAAUUGAUUGCUGAAAGCGAUUUUUUUUUUC